Molecule: ribosomal RNA, 731 nt
Filed under: Streptomyces sp.
Lineage: Bacteria; Bacillati; Actinomycetota; Actinomycetes; Kitasatosporales; Streptomycetaceae
Description: bacterial SSU rRNA
Rfam family: Bacterial small subunit ribosomal RNA
Source: RNAcentral
CAGUGGGGAAUAUUGCACAAUGGGCGAAAGCCUGAUGCAGCGACGCCGCGUGAGGGAUGACGGCCUUCGGGUUGUAAACCUCUUUCAGCAGGGAAGAAGCGCAAGUGACGGUACCUGCAGAAGAAGCGCCGGCUAACUACGUGCCAGCAGCCGCGGUAAUACGUAGGGCGCAAGCGUUGUCCGGAAUUAUUGGGCGUAAAGAGCUCGUAGGCGGCUUGUCACGUCGGAUGUGAAAGCCCGGGGCUUAACCCCGGGUCUGCAUUCGAUACGGGCUAGCUAGAGUGUGGUAGGGGAGAUCGGAAUUCCUGGUGUAGCGGUGAAAUGCGCAGAUAUCAGGAGGAACACCGGUGGCGAAGGCGGAUCUCUGGGCCAUUACUGACGCUGAGGAGCGAAAGCGUGGGGAGCGAACAGGAUUAGAUACCCUGGUAGUCCACGCCGUAAACGUUGGGAACUAGGUGUUGGCGACAUUCCACGUCGUCGGUGCCGCAGCUAACGCAUUAAGUUCCCCGCCUGGGGAGUACGGCCGCAAGGCUAAAACUCAGAGGAAUUGACGGAGGCGCGCACAAGCAGCGGAGCAUGUGGCUUAAUUCGACGCAACGCGAAGAACCUUACCAAGGCUUGACAUAUACCGGACAGCAUCAGAGAUGGUGCCUCCCUUGUGGUCGGUAUACAGGUGGUGCAUGGCUGUCUUCAGCUCAUGUCCUGAGAUGUUGGGUUUACUCCCGGAACGA